AGCGUACACGGUGGAUGCCCUGGCAGUCAGAGGCGAUGAAGGACGUGCUAAUCUGCGAUAAGCGUCGGUAAGGUGAUAUGAACCGUUAUAACCGGCGAUUUCCGAAUGGGGAAACCCAGUGUGAUUCGUCACACUAUCAUUAACUGAAUCCAUAGGUUAAUGAGGCGAACCGGGGGAACUGAAACAUCUAAGUACCCCGAGGAAAAGAAAUCAACCGAGAUUCCCCAGUAGCGGCGAGCGAACGGGGAGCAGCCCAGAGCCUGAAUCAGUGUGUGUGUUAGUGGAAGCGUCUGGAAAGGCGUGCGAUACAGGGUGACAGCCCCGUACACAAAAAUGCACAUAUUGUGAGCUCGAUGAGUAGGACGGGACACGUGGUAUCCUGUCUGAAUAUGGGGGGACCAUCCUCCAAGGCUAAAUACUCCUGACUGACCGAUAGUGAACCAGUACCGUGAGGGAAAGGCGAAAAGAACCCCGGCGAGGGGAGUGAAAAAGAACCUGAAACCGUGUACGUACAAGCAGUGGGAGCACGCUUAGGCGUGUGACUGCGUACCUUUUGUAUAAUGGGUCAGCGACUUAUAUUCUGUAGCAAGGUUAACCGAAUAGGGGAGCCGAAGGGAAACCGAGUCUUAACUGGGCGUUAAGUUGCAGGGUAUAGACCCGAAACCCGGUGAUCUAGCCAUGGGCAGGUUGAAGGUUGGGUAACACUAACUGGAGGACCGAACCGACUAAUGUUGAAAAAUUAGCGGAUGACUUGUGGCUGGGGGUGAAAGGCCAAUCAAACCGGGAGAUAGCUGGUUCUCCCCGAAAGCUAUUUAGGUAGCGCCUCGUGAAUUCAUCUCCGGGGGUAGAGCACUGUUUCGGCAAGGGGGUCAUCCCGACUUACCAACCCGAUGCAAACUGCGAAUACCGGAGAAUGUUAUCACGGGAGACACACGGCGGGUGCUAACGUCCGUCGUGAAGAGGGAAACAACCCAGACCGCCAGCUAAGGUCCCAAAGUCAUGGUUAAGUGGGAAACGAUGUGGGAAGGCCCAGACAGCCAGGAUGUUGGCUUAGAAGCAGCCAUCAUUUAAAGAAAGCGUAAUAGCUCACUGGUCGAGUCGGCCUGCGCGGAAGAUGUAACGGGGCUAAACCAUGCACCGAAGCUGCGGCAGCGACACUAUGUGUUGUUGGGUAGGGGAGCGUUCUGUAAGCCUGUGAAGGUGUACUGUGAGGUAUGCUGGAGGUAUCAGAAGUGCGAAUGCUGACAUAAGUAACGAUAAAGCGGGUGAAAAGCCCGCUCGCCGGAAGACCAAGGGUUCCUGUCCAACGUUAAUCGGGGCAGGGUGAGUCGACUCCUAAGGCGAGGCCGAAAGGCGUAGUCGAUGGGAAACAGGUUAAUAUUCCUGUACUUGGUGUUACUGCGAAGGGGGGACGGAGAAGGCUAUGUUGGCCGGGCGACGGUUGUCCCGGUUUAAGCGUGUAGGCUGGUUUUCCAGGCAAAUCCGGAAAACUAAGGCUGAGGCGUGAUGACGAGGCACUACGGUGCUGAAGCAACAAAUGCCCUGCUUCCAGGAAAAGCCUCUAAGCAUCAGGUAACAUCAAAUCGUACCCCAAACCGACACAGGUGGUCAGGUAGAGAAUACCAAGGCGCUUGAGAGAACUCGGGUGAAGGAACUAGGCAAAAUGGUGCCGUAACUUCGGGAGAAGGCACGCUGAUAUGUAGGUGAAGUCCCUCGCGGAUGGAGCUGAAAUCAGUCGAAGAUACCAGCUGGCUGCAACUGUUUAUUAAAAACACAGCACUGUGCAAACACGAAAGUGGACGUAUACGGUGUGACGCCUGCCCGGUGCCGGAAGGUUAAUUGAUGGGGUCAGCGCAAGCGAAGCUCUUGAUCGAAGCCCCGGUAAACGGCGGCCGUAACUAUAACGGUCCUAAGGUAGCGAAAUUCCUUGUCGGGUAAGUUCCGACCUGCACGAAUGGCGUAAUGAUGGCCAGGCUGUCUCCACCCGAGACUCAGUGAAAUUGAACUCGCUGUGAAGAUGCAGUGUACCCGCGGCAAGACGGAAAGACCCCGUGAACCUUUACUAUAGCUUGACACUGAACAUUGAGCCUUGAUGUGUAGGAUAGGUGGGAGGCUUUGAAGUGUGGACGCCAGUCUGCAUGGAGCCGACCUUGAAAUACCACCCUUUAAUGUUUGAUGUUCUAACGUUGACCCGUAAUCCGGGUUGCGGACAGUGUCUGGUGGGUAGUUUGACUGGGGCGGUCUCCUCCUAAAGAGUAACGGAGGAGCACGAAGGUUGGCUAAUCCUGGUCGGACAUCAGGAGGUUAGUGCAAUGGCAUAAGCCAGCUUGACUGCGAGCGUGACGGCGCGAGCAGGUGCGAAAGCAGGUCAUAGUGAUCCGGUGGUUCUGAAUGGAAGGGCCAUCGCUCAACGGAUAAAAGGUACUCCGGGGAUAACAGGCUGAUACCGCCCAAGAGUUCAUAUCGACGGCGGUGUUUGGCACCUCGAUGUCGGCUCAUCACAUCCUGGGGCUGAAGUAGGUCCCAAGGGUAUGGCUGUUCGCCAUUUAAAGUGGUACGCGAGCUGGGUUUAGAACGUCGUGAGACAGUUCGGUCCCUAUCUGCCGUGGGCGCUGGAGAACUGAGGGGGGCUGCUCCUAGUACGAGAGGACCGGAGUGGACGCAUCACUGGUGUUCGGGUUGUCAUGCCAAUGGCACUGCCCGGUAGCUAAAUGCGGAAGAGAUAAGUGCUGAAAGCAUCUAAGCACGAAACUUGCCCCGAGAUGAGUUCUCCCUGACUCCUUGA
Molecule: ribosomal RNA, 2785 nt
Filed under: Shigella dysenteriae
Lineage: Bacteria; Pseudomonadati; Pseudomonadota; Gammaproteobacteria; Enterobacterales; Enterobacteriaceae
Description: bacterial LSU rRNA
Rfam family: Bacterial large subunit ribosomal RNA
Source: RNAcentral